GGGCCCGCACAAGCGGUGGAGCAUGUGGUUUAAUUCGAUGAUACGCGAGGAACCUUACCAGGGCUUAAAUGCAGAGCGACAGAGGUGGAAACACCUCCUUCUUCGGACGGUCUGCAAGGUGCUGCAUGGUUGUCGUCAGCUCGUGCUGUGAAGUGUCGGGUUAAGUCCCAUAACGAGCGCAACCCCUAUUUCUAGUUGCCAGCGGUUCGGCCGGGGACUCUAGAGAAACUGCCAGCGUAAGCUGUGAGGAAGGUGGGGAUGACGUCAAAUCAUCACGGCCCUUACGUCCUGGGCCACACACGUGCUACAAUGGUAAGGACAGAGAGUUGCCAACCCGCGAGGGUGAGCUAAUCUUCAAACUCCAUCUCAGUUCGGAUCGAAGUCUGCAACUCGACUUCGUGAAGUUGGAAUCGCUAG
Molecule: ribosomal RNA, 417 nt
Filed under: uncultured bacterium
Lineage: Bacteria
Description: bacterial SSU rRNA
Rfam family: Bacterial small subunit ribosomal RNA
Source: RNAcentral